CGUUGUGCUAGUUUUUUAAGUCACCACCUCUCCAGUGGGGUAGUACUCUCUCUAUUACUAUACACUUAAAAUUGGUGAAGGAAAACAAAGGGCAGGCAUUACAAUGAAUGGGCACAGAAUGGGGUGUAAGAUUAUUUUUAAUAUUAGAUGUUCCAUUAGUCUUACUUUGAGGAUCCUUUUUGUGCGGCUGACAUAUUGUUUGCCACACGAACACUGUAGUAAACAAACAACAUAGUCCGUGUGGCAUCCUAUGUCUGAUUUAAUAUUAAACCUAUCACCUGUGAUAAAACUGGAGAAAGAGUGGGUUCUGGAUAUUAAGCCGGUGGUACAUGUUUUGUAUGUAUUACAUCCUCUGAAAAUUCCCAGCUGAUUGGGAGCAUUUGUCGACGUGGGCUUAAGGGCAUAACUAGGAGCUAGCAUGUUCUUAAAAUUAAUUCCUUUUGUAAAUAACUCUAGGUUGAUUCAAUAAUGUUGUUCCUAAAAUUGAGUCCUGUAAUAUAAUUGGCCAGUAUUGUUGUAAACUCUUUUUUAUCCUCCUAUGUUCAGUGUUGUAUUGUGUUAUAAAUACAGUGGUAAAAUUUUAAUUGGAGGUUUUGACCAAGGGUUUAUCCCUCAAUAAUUGAUUUCUGUCUGUUUUGCUAACCGAAUUUCCCUUUCUAAAGGUAUUUUUCUUAUAACCUUUCUCUAACAGUUUAUUUUGUUGGAUGUUGGAACGCGGAAGUACAGAACGGGCUCCACUUCCGAUUUCAACUCACCGCGCCAAUUUUGGACGAAGAGAAAAGAGAAUACACACUCCACACCUGAAUAGGACCACAGGAUCAUUGGUAACACCCACAAGAUCCACCAAUGAACUGAGGGUUUAGCCCUAUUUAGAGACUCA
Non-coding RNA from Pelobates cultripes (western spadefoot toad), 880 nucleotides. Lineage: Eukaryota; Metazoa; Chordata; Amphibia; Anura; Pelobatidae. The record is from the annotation of a GenBank genome assembly.